AAAUAAAGUAUAGAUAUGGACAUAGAAUGUGGAAUAAUAGUGUUGUCAUUUGAAUUUGUGUCCCCUCCCAAAACUCAUGCCAAAUUGGAGGAGGGGCCUGGCGGGAGAUGAUUGAAUCAUGAGGGCUGAUUUUCCCCUUGCUGUUCUCAUGAUAGUAAGUGAGUUUUCAUAAAAUCUGAUGGUUUAAAAGUGUGUGGCACUUACCCCUUUUCUUGCUUUCUCUCCUACCACCUUGUGAAGAAAGUGCUUGCUCCUUCUUCACCUUCCACCCUGUUUGUAAGUUUCCUGAGGCCUCCCAGUCACGCUCCCUAUUAAACCCACGGAACUGUGAAUCAAUUAAAGCUCUUUUCUUCAUAAAUUACCCACUCUCAGGUAGUUCUUUAUAGAAGUGUGAGAAUGGACUAAUACAGUCCUUAGAGAGCCAGAAGGAAGGGAGGGUGAAAGGGGAGGGGAGAUGAGAAAAAACUUAAUGGGUGCAGUAAGUAAUUUAGUGUAUCCACUGAGCAAUGAGUAUACUAAAAGCCCAGACUUCACCACUAUAUAAUGCAUCUAUGUAACAAAACUCACUUGUCCUCACUAAAUUUAUAACAAUAAAAAUAAAACAAAAUAAUAAAAAUGUCAUUUAUAAGGACAAAUAAAACAAUAAACACACUAAUUUUAUCUAUGAUAUAUUAAGUCUAAUUUUUAACUUGAUAUCCAUCUUUAAUAGAAGUUAUUUCCCAAUUUAAAAAAAUCCUUAAUUCUACGGUAUCAUAUGAGGAAGAAAUAAUUUUCAUCAUUACUUUACCUGGAGCACACAGAAUAGGGUCAAAUCACUGAAUUUAAAGCUAGAAAGAAGACUUCUUCUUUGGCUCUUCCCUGAAAAACUAUAGCCUUUGGGGCUUAAGGUCUUCUGAAUUUAGUUUUUUAUUUAAUGCCACUUAUAAAACUUUGACCUAAGAUUGACAUUCUCUCUCUUCUUUUAAGCUUCUUCAAACACUCUCUUAUGCUUAUUAUUUUACCCUUUUUGAUGAGAUAAUUAUUCAUUUCAUAUGUACCCACUCGACUGUAAGAUCCUUGGAGAUGGAAGCCAUAAGCUACUUAGGAGCAUAAUACCUCAUCUUCUUCCCCAGAUCCUGAACUCACAGAAUGCCUAGCAGUGUACACGCACACCUACACAUCUACCCCUAUCCCCACAACACACAUAGCUUUCUCUCCUUGCCUUAAGAGAAUGAAUAUUGAAACAAAUGAAGAAAUGGGUUAUAAAAUAAGCUUGCAUUCCUUCUAAAUUUUAGCUUUUUAAAUUCUUAAACAUUUUAGGUCUCUUGUAUUUGCCAGUAGUUGACUCUAGCUGGUCACUGAUAUGUUUAGAAAUAUCCUACAUAAAUGAGCUAUGGAGAUGAAUUAACAUAUUCCAAAGAUAAGUAUUGAUGUUUUGCAAAAAAAUAAUAAAUAUGUUGAGGGCAUUCAGGCUGAAUAUAUUGACUUUUCUUUAUGGACUGCACUAAAAUUGAUUUACUGAAUUUUCAUAGGCAGCCUGCAAAAUGACCAAUUGAUUAUGAAGAGAGACAAAAACCUUUCUAAUUAUUCCAGUUCUGUUAGGCAGUGGUAUGGAAGGUUUGUAAGUUUAUCUUAUUUAAGAGCCAUUAUUAUUCACACUUGCCAAAAGAUUAAUCUUGAGGAGUCAUGUGCUUGUAAUCCUACUGUAAUUGCCUUUUUACUUGAUUUUCUUCUCUGAGAUUCUAUCAGCCUAUUGAUAAUUACUGCGCCUUCCCUUCCCCAGGGCUGUGAGAGUACCCAGCAAUAAAAACACACACAAAUAUUUCUAUCAUAUAUGAAUGAAUGAAAAUCUGACUACAACCUACAAUUAAAGGCAGUUUCUUCUAGAGAAGUUGGAGGGGAUGGAGAUGGAGGAUGCAGGUGUUAAAGAUAUUUUACUUAUAAUAUAUUUCAUUAUUUUAUGUCCAAAGACUUCCAUUGGAUUAUCUGUACAGAUAGAUCAUCCUAGCAUAACUAUGGUGACUUCUGAGAACUUCAGAAGUAAUGACACCAAUAUAUCAUUAGGUUUUGCAGAAGACUUUGGAAGAGACUAUCACAUGUUCCAAAGUAGAUUCAAAAUUCCACCUCAAAUGGUAUAAUGCACAGUUCACUUCAAAACUGAACCUUCUAGGCUGACUGUUCCCUAUAAGCUUGUGUUCAGAUUUCUUCUAAAAAGACUAGAGUGACAAUCUGAGCUAAAGCUAACAAAAAGCAGCUCCAGCAUGACUCAGUAUCUGCACUUAAGUAAGAAAAACCUCUGGAAGGUGCAUCUGAACUAUUACAGCUAGACACAAACAUGAUAUUUGUGUAUAUUCCAAAGCAGAUUUAAAAAUGUUAAUUUAAAAUGAGUUUAAUACAAUUAGAAAAAUAAAAGAUAUAUUUUACGUAUAAUUCUGUCAUCUGACCAAAUAAUGUUUAUCCUGAGAAAGUAAUAUAGCAUAGUGGAAAUUAUUUAGAGUCCCACAGAACACAGUUUUAUAUGCUUAUCUAGCUAUAUAUCAUUGGGCACAUCACAUUUUGUAGCAGUGGCUUUGUUUUCCUAUUUAUAAAUGUGUGCCUAUAUCUACAUAUCUGGAUUGUUUAAAUAAUUAUAUACAAUAAUAUAAAUAAAAAGCCUCAAGAAAUGCUUGAAAUAGUUGCUCAAACAAUGGAACUUAUCAUUAUAGGUUUUAAGGUUUGCUGUGUAUUUUUCUAAUCUCAGUCCCUAUGGCCAUAUACUUUUAGCAAUUGCAAUCAAAAUUCACAAAUGUGCUUGAUUCCUUCAUGUUGUGAUUUGAUUUCAUCUAUUUUUUCACAGUAGGCAUUUAGUUUAUUUUUUAACAUAGUCAAAUGUUCAUUUUUAAUCACUUCAAAUACUGUCUCUAGUGAAUUGACCUCCGGAUGGAGAUGUAAGCUUUCUGAGGCAGAUCUUCAGAAGUGACUUCUUAAAUAAGGGGCACUAAGCCUUGACUAGGAAUAGCUGUUUGUUAUUUCCAUCUGCACUUGAUGAGGAAGUUGUGGCCUCUUUUUUCACUGAUGUGGAUUUUGCCAUCAUUAUCCAUGCCUCUAACCUGUGGCCUUGAUUACUAUAAUACUCUUGACUUUGGGCUACUUUUGAGCUUCGGCUGGUGAGGAAUGCAGCAAUCUGUUUGCUUGUGGGUAGCCACUGCAGGAAGCAUAUUGUAUCAGUGUUCCAUUGUAAAAUGCAAUGGAGCUGCACUUUAAUGAAGCCACAGCAAGGCUGAGUAUAUUUGAGGAAUCACUUGAAUAUUUAAUAAGUCUAAAUGGAAAGAAGAUAUGUUUUUUCUUUUUUUCUUGCACUAUUUUGCUAUCCGUGGUUGAACAAAAGACACUUAAUAAAAACAUUAUAGCUGAAUUGUUAUCAUUUCCAACACCAUAGGCAUUAUACAGCUGAAAAGUUUUAGAUUCACAGCAGGGUUUAAAGGCCCUUGUUUCUAAAUUCAAUGUAAACUAUUGCUAAGGAGUUACGGCUACCAUAAAUUAAAAAAAAAUAAAAAAUAAAAAAUAAAAAAAAAAACGCAUAUACCUGCCUUCAGCUGUUGGCACCAUCUUCAUGAAGAAUGAAGAAGCAAAACAAAAAAGUGUCUAUUGAUGCGGAAAAGGGAGCUAUAUAACCAGGUAAAAAAAUGAAAGAUAAAAAAGGCAGGCAAAAGUCAUGUCAUGACAUUAUCAGAGGCAUUUAGGUUGCAAGGUGUGAAAAAGAUAUUUUUGGUGAUUUCAUAUAAACAGAAAGAAUAAACAAUUACCUCACUUCAGAAAAUCUUAAGAUAUACCUACACAUAUAUGGAAUACAUGCAUUUAAAUAUAUAUAUAUAUAUAUAUGUACUUUGUCAGUUUUCAUACUAUACAAUGUGUCCACAAACACAGAAAUAUAUAUGUUCUUUAUUUCUCUCAAUGAACACUCCACUCCUGCUUUUAAGAUGUGUUUUAGCCAUUAUAUCAUCCAAGUACCUUGCUUUAUAAUCUGAAAACAUCUUACCAAAUUUCAUUUCCUCAUUGUAUUUUCUUUUUUGAUAAUAUGGAAAUGCUACAACUAUAUCAUCCACGUUGUUUUUGCAUAUUCUUUUGUAGUUAGUGGUGCUCUGUUUUUAUUUGUGACUGAAACUGACUAAGGAAAUUUAUAGAUUUGGUGCAUCCCCCUACUUCAUUAACUCACAAGCAACAAGGGCAGCUCCUAGUGAAUUAACAUCAGUCCACUUUCCUUGUGGGCAGAUAAUUCCAAUUAUAGUUAGUUAUGACUGACUUUGCUUUCAUGAAGAUUGACAGAAUGUGCUAGAGGUAUGGGACAACGUUUAGAACUGCAGUCGUAGUUCAGACCCUGAGUUGGCUGUAGAGGUUGGGGCUUGGAGACAAUUACGUAGUGGUUUGGGUGUCAGAUUGGUCACAAACCAAACUUCAUUGCUCACUAGCUGUGAAAUGUUGAACAGAUUAGAAAACUCUAAAACUCAGGGUUUUUGUCCAUAAAAUGAUGAUGUUAAUUAUACUUGUAUCAAGGAUUUUGUGCAUAUUAAAUAAGAUGUCUUCAUUCAUGGUGUCUGCACUAAGCACCCAAUCAUUUUAGCUAUUAUUGUUCAUACCAUCCUGUGUGAAAUAAGAGGGGUAUAUUCCCUUACCUUUUAGGCUUCUCUAGUGUCAGUAUUGCACUCAAGAAGUAAAAAAAAAAAAUUGGAUGUUCAAGAGGUUCACUGUUGUUUAAAGCUGUUGUUUGUAUGAUUAAUACCAUUAAGUCAUUUAUUUCAUUCUUUCUUUCUUUUUUAACUCAGUCAGUGAUUACUGAGUGUCUACCAUGGGCUAGACGCUAUGCAAAGAGCUGAAGCUCGAAUCACGAGUAAGGCAGAAUUUCUGUCUACAGGAAACAGGUCUAUGACUAUGGAAAUAUCUACAGGAAAACAGAAAUUACAAUAGAGUAUCUCGAUAUAGGAAUGCACCUAACUCAGUCUUGGGAGUGACGGGGAGAAGAAAAGUCCUACAGAGGAGACAGAAUCUCAUCUCAAUUUCAGAGGAAAAAUAUGUUAUAACUAAAAGAGGUAUUAGAGGUUAACGAGUCCACAGAAUUAAUUUUAGAGUUGAGGCUGAGAGAGAUUACAUGACAUGGCCACACAGUCCAGAACUGGACAGCCUGAGCUCCUUCUACUCCACAGCUUGUGCUCAAAAUCUUCUUUUUCCAAGCCACAAGCUGUGUUGUUUUCCAUAGAUCUUAGAAAAUGGGCCAUGACCUUCAAACUUAACAUUCUGGAAAACGUGGUACCUAAGUCAGGCAGCCAGCCCAUCUGGGGAAUGUUGAAAAUCCUAUAAUUUCCACCCUUCCCUACAGCAGUAUUUCCCUUUCAUUUGAUUGUAAGGUGGCAAUUAAAAUAAAAUGCAAUACAGUACACAAGAAGAGGCAGAGGCAAAACAUGAGAGACUCCCAGUGGAAAAGGAGGGAAGCAUAUGGUAAAGGUAAUUGGCUUCUCUCUGUUACAUGCAGGCACAUAACCGAAGAGUUGCAUAUAGCAAUCUAUAUAUUUCUGAAUUUAUAAGAAACUCAGCUUAAAGCCAGCACUGACUUUCAAUAAAUGUGUCAUAAAUAGCAGCGAUCCUUUUCCCUCUCUAAUUUAACUUGGACAAUUUCUUUAUCCCAGAUACACAUUGAGCCCAACACUUUCCAUAUCUAUCCUAAAUAUAACCGGUCACCAUUGCAAAACUAAAUUUAGUGAUUUUCUUCAAUGGUAAGAGACUUUUUUUUUUACAAUGUUUAUUGAUUUUUCCAAGUCCAUAGUAGCUAAUCUGGUUUCCAGUUCAUCAAAUCCACUUGAAUCAUGGUGUGUGUUUGUUUGUGUGUGUGUGUGUGUGUGUGUGUAUGUAUGUGUGUGAAAUGUGUUUUUCGUUGUCAAGGUUACAAGCAGCAUAAGGCAUUUAGCAUGUAUGAGUGAAUAACAUGUCAUAAUAUCAUUUUAUUCUAAGAAAUCCCAACCUGUUGAUAAGUUAUCUCAAUCAAUCUUAAACCCAAAACUACAGUAGGAAAAAAGCCUAUCUGGUACCCUCCUAGGUAAUUCCUAAUUAGGAUGUAUUAGUAAUUAUGCAUGCUCAGUAGCAUAUAGACUGUUGUGAAUUAUGGUUGCCCUAAUGUAAUAAAAAUUUAAUGAGGCUUUGUCUUACACUGUCAAUUAAGUAAACUUCUGGCCUACUGACUAAAUUUUGAUUUAUGUUGCCUUCUUCUUACUUUUUACAAAAGUGAGAAAUUACAGAGCUAUCUUAACAUUUCAAAAGAUUAAUUGUCCACAACGCCAAUUUGGUUUGCAUGAAGUCUGAACAGAUGUAAUUAUGCUCGCCUUCCCCAGUGAAUAUACCUAAGAAAAUAUUUCUAGGUUACAAGUUCCAUCGUGUUACAUUUAAGAGGCCAAACUAAAUACAAUGAAACCUACUAAUUUCAAUCUUUUCCUGAAUGUUCUCUUGCAGUUCACAUUCAAAUUUCAAAGUCUUAGCAAAGUUUCUAAACUGCUGGGCUGCCAACAUUUUACUUUUCUUUUCUUUUCUUCUUUUAUCCUCUUUGAAAAAUUAGAAGAAAGUUUUUUUCUGACCAGAUAAUUAUUUUUUGAUUAAUACCUUCUUUUCUACUUGCAUGCAGUCAGCUAAUAAAAUGACAAGAAAAAGUAAGAUACAUUUGAAUUUCAAGUUCUCCUUUCAAAGGUUUAAUCACAGCCUUUGAACUGAACUCAGUGAUAUGUUAUCUGGAGUUAACCAUUUUGUCAUAAAAAUCAUAAUAUUGCAACCAUCCUAAAAUAGCCCAGUUGAAAAUAUUAGCUCAAAGUCAAUUGCAGGAGGGCAGAAUUUUCAUGCUGACUCAUUAGUGAGUACUUUUAAAAUAUAUAUAUAUUUUUAAUUGACAAUCAUUGUAUAUAUUUAUGGGAUACAAUGUAAUGUUUUGAUAUGUGUUUAUAAUACGGUAUUUUAAAUACCCUACCCUUUUAGGUAUUACUUUCUAAUAGACAACUUUUUUUUUUUUUUUUUUUUUUUUUUUUUUUGAGAGUGAGUUUCGCUCUGUUGUCCAGGCUGGAAUGCAGUGGCGAGAUCUUGGCUCACUGCAACCUCUGCUUCCCUGGGUUUGAGCGAUUCUCCUACUUCAACCUCCCUAGUAGCUGGGAGUACAGGCGCCUGCCACCACACCCAGCUAAUCUUUGUAUUGUUAGUAAAGGCAGGGUUUCACCAUGUUGGCCAAGCUGGUAUCGAACUCCUGACCUCAAAUGAUCCACUCACUUUGGCCUCCCAAAUUGCUGGGAUUACAGAUGUGAGCCACUGUGCCCAGUUGACAGCAUUAUUUUUAAUCAUUGCUUUUAAUUAUUAGAGAAGGGGCUUAGAGAUCUGCACCAUUUUUAAAAACUUUAUUCUCAUCUCUUUAGAAAUGGGGAGAAAAAUGCCAAAACUAUUCAUUCAGUUCCAGAGGCAGCUGCAUUCAAAAAAGAAAUCCUUUUCAUGUCCCUUGUGUUAACAAACGCUAACAUUAAUUGAAUUGUUUCUUUUUUUUUUCCAGUGACAUUUUCUUUUUCUUUUUUCUUUUUUUUUCUUUUAUUAUUAUUAUACUUUAAGUUGUAGGGUACAUGUGCACAAUGUGUAGGUUAGUUACAUAUGUAUACAUGUGCCAUGCUGGUGUGCUGCACCCAUUAACUCGUCAUUUAGCAUUAGGUAUAUCUCCUAAUGCUAUCCCUUCCCCCUCCCCCCACCCCACAACCGUCCCCAGUGUGUGAUGUUCCCCUUCCUGUGUCCAUGUGUUCUCAUUGUUCAAUUCCCACCUAUGAGUGAGAACAUGCCGUGUUUGGUUUUUUGUCCUUGCGAUAGUUUACUGAGAAUGAUGAUUUUCAAUUUCAUCCAUGUCCCUACAAAGACAUGAACUCAUCAUUUUUUAUGGCUGCAUAGUAUUCCAUGGUGUAUAUGUGACACAUUUUCUUAAUCCAGUCUAUCAUUGUUGGACAUUUGGGUUGGUUCCAAGUCUUUGCUAUUGUGAAUAGUGCCGCAAUAAACAUAUGUGUGCAUGUGUCUUUACAGCAGCAUGAUUUAUAGUCCUUUGGGUAUAUACCCAGUAAUGGGAUCGCUGGUUCAAACGGUAUGUCUAGUUCUAGAUCCCUGAGGAAUCGCCACACUGAUUUCCACAAUGAUUGAACCAGUUUACAGUCCUACCAGCAGUGUAAAAGUGUUCCUAUUUCUCCACAUCCUCUCCAGCACCUGUUGUUUUGUUAGAGGUAAUUCCUAUGCAGUUACUAUUCAAUUUUCUUAACACCUUCAUGUUAUUUUUUUUUCAAUUUUCUGAUGUUUCAGGGGGAAACUAAACCAGAAAGAGCUUAUGGCUUGGUCAAUAUUGAAUAGGUAGUGGUGGAGUAAAGAUUUCAACUCAGAUAGUACAACAGCACAGCCCAUUCUCUUAACCACUCCUCCAUAUUUCCUUAAAAACAUAGCACAAUCAUAAUCACACAUAUGUAAGUUAUUAUAUAUGGAAUAAUAAUAUUCCAUAUAUAAUAUUAUUCCAUAAUUAUAUAUGGAAUAAUUAUCAUGUGCCAACUUCAUGCUAAACAUGUAUUUAUUAUAUAUGUUUCAGUAACAAGAGUCAAUGCUAUCACUGCAAAUAAUUUUAAAGAAAUUCCAUAUAGCAAAAUUUAAUGUAGUUCUUACCACUACUCCAUUAUUUCAAGUUAUAUUUGUUUCAUUUAGUUCUGUUAAUUGUGACUUGAGUUUUAUUAAAAUAUGAUGUCACAUCCUUGAAAAAAAACAAAAUGAAAAUAAAAAUAAAAAUAGUUGUCUUUAGUAAGAGUCCAGAAUGCAGAUUAGAUAAUAUUCCAAUGUAUUUUAACCAAAAAGCUUAUUCAAAAUUUAAGACAACAAAUUUCAUUUACCCGUUGGUAUGAUAUUCUCCAGCAUGCUGGGAUAGAGGGACAGCCCUGAUAUCUAUGGCUAACUUAAUGCCCCAGAUGAUUUAGGUUAAAUGUUAUAACCUCUCUAAGGCUUCAUUCUAUCAUCUGUAAAUUAAAGAGGGUUAAUAAAGUGACCACCAGGUUUCACUUUGUAUCAUGAUUCUAUUCAACUGACAUUGGCUCUGUGCAGCACUGGAUCUUGAAAAAUUUUGAGCUCUAUGUUGACUCAGAAAAAAAAAGAAAUCAAUAGGAAGUCACAAUAGAGAGGAGUGGCUGUACAAUCGCAGGACAUUUGCAGGUUUCUGUUUUACUUAAGAUAGGUGAACUGCUGUAUACAAUAGACUGAAAUGUGCAUUGGUUAACAUACAACUGAUGUUUGUUUCUAGGUCUCAAGAGAAUAUGGCACAAUUGAACAGGAUUGUGGGACAGCCCUUCCUGUGCAGUCAUUCAAUGACUCACCUGGUGGAUACUAUUUCAAUUCUAGCUGGAAUGGAGAAGAUAUGUUGAGUGUUACCAUAUGGGAGGUUUAUAGGAGCCAGGUCUGAAAAUGGCAGGCAUCGCUUUUAACUUUCUAUUAUCUAGAUUUCAUUCACGUGGCCUAAUCUAACUGAAAGGGACACUAAACUCAUAGUUUCUGUGUGUUAUUAGGAAGAAAACGAAAAUAUGGAUGUUGGUGACAGUCUCUUCUCUGACAUGUAAAACAUCUUUAAAUUAUAAUGUUCAUCUUGGCUUUUAUUUGUGAUAGGUUCCUUUACUUAUGACGUUACAGAUUUAAGUUAAAGCUCUGCUUGGUCAGUUUGAGACUUCCUUCCUUCCUUCCUUCCUUCCUUCCUUCCUUCCUUCCUUCCUUCCUUCCUUCCUUCCUUCCUUCCUCCCUCUCUCUCUCUCUCUCAGUGUCUCUCUCUCUCUCUCUCUCUCUUUCUAGUCUCGCUCUGUCACCAGGCUGGAGUGCAGUGGCACAAUCUCUGCUCACUGCAACCUCUGCCUCCCAUGUUCAAGCAAUUCUCCUGCCUCAGCCUCCCAAGUAGCUGGGAUUACAGGUGAAUGCCACCACACUCAGCUAAUUUUUUUUGUUGUUGUUGUUAGAGAUAGAGUUUCAACAUGUUAGCCAGGAUGGUCUUGAUCUCUUCUCUGAUAUGUAUAAUGUCUUUAAAGUAUAAUGUUCAUUUUGGGCAGACCUCAUGCUCUGCCCGUCUUGGCCUCCCAAAGUGCUGGGAUUACAGGCAUGAACCACUGUGCCCGGCCAAUUUCUUAAUUUCUUAAAUGACAUUAAUAACUCCCAAAGCGACCAGUUGUUUAGCUCAGUCAUAGGACAUUAAAAAGUGUUGGAUGAAUGUUUCUAGAUUGGUGUUAAUUAGGUAACUUUGUUCUGAUGAAAUUAUUUCGUAUUUUUUUAAUCUUUUUUUUAACUUUCAUUUUAAGUUCAGGAGUACAAGUGAAGGUUUGUUACAUAGGUAAAUUUGUGUCAUGGGGAUUUGUUGUACAGAUUAUUGCAUCACCCAGGUAUUAAGCUUAGUACCCAUUUGUUAUUUUUCCUGAUUGUCUCCCUCAUCCCACCCUCUGCUUUCUGAAAAGCCCCAGUGUUUGUUGUUCCCCACUAAGUGUCCAUGUGCUCUCAUUAAUUAACUCCCACUUAAAAGUGAGAACACGCAGUAUUUAGUUUUCUAUUCCGGUGUCAGUUUGCUAAGGAUAAUGACUUCCAACAUCAUCCAUGUCCCUGCAAAGGACAUGAUCUUAUUCUUUUUUAUGGCUGUGUAGUAUUCCAUAGUGUAUAUGUACCACAUUUUCCUUAUCCAGUCUAUCAUUGAUGGGACUUUAGGUUGAUUCCAUGUCUUUGUUAUUGUGAAUAGUGCUGCAAUGAACAUAUGUGUGCAUGUAUCUAUAUAGAAUAAUUUACAUUCCUUUGGGUAUAUAUUCAGUAAUGGGAUUGCUAAGUCAAAUGAUAUUUCUGUUUUUAGGUCUUUGAGGAAUUGCCACACUGUCUUCCACAAUGGCUGAACUAAUUUACAUUCCCAUCAACUGUGUAUAAGUGUUCCUUUUUCUCCACAACCUUCAUUUUCUAUAUUUUCAUUGGAAUAUAAAUUUCAUAGAGCAGGAACCUUGUCUAUCUUGUGUCCAAUGUAUACCCAAGAGCUACAGCAGUGCCUGGCACAUAGAAAGUACUCAGUAUUUAUUGAAUGGAUAUAUACUUAGAUAAUAAACUAUUGUCCUAUGUAGUAAGUUCAUGUAAUGUUUCUUUGAAACUAUUACCUAUUGAUAUGGUUUUGCCCUGUGUCCCCACCCAAAUCUCAUGACGAAUUGUAAUCCCCAUGUGUCAAGAGAGGGACCUGGUAUGAGGUAAUUGUAUCGGGGGGCAGAUUUUCACCUUGCUGUUCUCUUGACAGUGACUGGGUUCUCAUGAGAUCUAAUGGUUUAAAGGUGUGUGGCACCUCCCCCUUCUCACUGUCUCUUUCUUGCUCCACCAUGAUAAGACAUGCUUGCUUCCCCUUCAAUUUCCCCAUGACUGUAAGUUUCCUAAGGCCUCCCAAUCAUUAUUCCUAUUAAACCUGCAGAAUUGUGAUUCAAUUAAACCUCUUUUCUUCAUAAAUUACCCAGUCUCAGGUAGUUCUUUAUAGCAGUGUGAGAACAGAGUAAUACAACUAUAAAAAACUAAACAGACAUAUAGGACUGCUACAGUAGAACAUCUCCAACCAUCGCAUUUUUAUUACUCCACUUCAGAAUUACCACUAUGUCUAUGAGGCUAUUUAAUUUCAAAAACAAAUAAAUCACUGAGGGCCCACAAUUUGACUAAGAACAAUAAUCAUUAAUACCUAACAGUAAAAGGUGACCAUACAUCACACUGUGCUUGUGAUAGCCAUAGAUUUCACCUGGAUGUUGCAUCAUGAGACAACAUGGAACUCACAAGUGUCCCAGUUUAGAUGACAAAUUACAGUACAUAAAUACUCUAGUAAUAAGAUUUUUGUUUUGCUUUAUGUUUGAAUUAUGCUAUAUUUGAAUCCUUCCUGAUUUUUCUUGGAUAGCUUUAAUUUCAUUGAAGCCUGUGGGUCUUUAAUAAUUGGAAUGACUAUUUUAAAUAACAGAUGUCUUGAGAUAAUCUGGCCCUAUUUUAUGAAGCAUUGUGCUAUUUUUAUUUAAGCAUUUGUUAAUAGGCUAACGUAACUAUUCUGAUUAAGAAGCAAAGUGAAAUUCAUUAACAUAUACCACUGAGCAGUACACUCAGAUUUACUUGGCAAUAGAUUUCCCAAGCAUAAUUGUAUCGGCUAGAAGCUAUGGCUAAUGCCACUGCUGAAAUUUCAAACAUAAAUCAUAAAAACCAAUGAAUUGGCAAUAGAGUUACUAAGCACAAAUUUGUCUGGUAGCAGCUACAGUUGACUGCUGCAGCUGAAAUUACAAACACCACUGAUAAGCACAGUGAUUUAGGUCAGAACAUAAUUCUCAAUCGAAUAUUUUCUAAUUUGUUUGAAUGCUUUUUGGAAAACUUCAAAAGAUAAUCAAUUCUUUUCACAUUGCAAUGAUUUGAGAAGUAGGUUGUUUAUUGAUAUAUCAUAGAUACCCAUAUUUUGGGAGAACAUGUGAUAUUUUGAUAUAUGUAUACAAUGUGUGAUGAUCAAAUCAGGGUAAUUAGGAUAUUCAUCACCUCAAACAUUUAUUAUUUCUUUUGAAACAUUAAAAUUCUUCUCAAGAAGUAGUUUUCCUUUUUUUUUUUUAAUUAGUAGGAUAAUUUCUGGCUUAGGAUCUAGUUCUUUAGCUAAUUAAAAAGCAAUUGCCUGUCCUUUCUUUUGCAAUAUAUAAAAACAAUUAUAUUUACUACUAUUGUUACUCAUAUUCCUCCCCUUCCUAGUACUCAAAUACAGGCCAUCUAUGACUCUACUAUUUACAAAUAUACCUACUAAGACAAUACCAUUCGUUUCCCCCAGGAAAAGUCCACUCAGGCCUUCUAUGAGAACAUUUAUAUUUCCACAGCUCCACUCUCCUUCUAUAAGAACAUUUAUAUUUCCACAGCUGAUAGAAAUCUCACCUCUCUUAACUCUUUGCCUAAGCAACAGGUAGCAUAGCUUUUAAUUUCAAACAAAAUUAUUUUCUGUAAUUACAUUAAUAACUACCAUGCAUCAGGCAUACUGCUUAAUGUUUUUGUAUCCAUUAUCUCAUUUUUUCAUUAUAAUAAUAUUGUGAGAUAGUUACCAUACUUUGCUCUUUGUGUUAUACACACCUGGUCUUUUCCAAAAGAAUAAACAUCCUUGAGGCCAGUAAGCAUAUGUUUACCCUAGGAUGAAUCUUGGCAGAUGGUAGGUGCUCAGUAAAUAACUGUCGAUGAAAAAUCUGAAAUCAGGAGGAUACUACGUGAUUUGUCUUAGUUAUCUAUUGCUGCAUUGCAGUGUUAUCACAACCUUUGUGACUUAAAACAAGUAUUUAUUAUUUUGCGCUUUUUGUGGGUAAAAAACUCUGGGUUUCCCUAGCAGGGCUCUCUACUUCACGUUCUCACAAAGCUGCACUCAGUGGCAGUGAGGGCUGCAGUCUCAUCUGAGCUUGACUGGCGGUGGGGGGUCAUCUACCUCUCCAAGCUCAUGUGACUGUUGGCAACUUCCAGUUCCUAUCAUGUUGGAGGACUAAGGACCUCAGUAUCUUGCUGUCUUUCAGCCAGAGGCUUAUAUCAAUUUCUUGCCAUGUGUGCCUUCUCAAAAUAGCCCCUUGCUUUCUCAAGCAAAUCAGGGAGCCUUAGGAAGAUGGGUGUCAUAACUCAUGUGUUGUGAUCAUAUGCACAUACACACCUCAGAGUUUUAUCAUCAUACAUCUUUUUCUAGCAAAUUUUCUAAAAGGAAACUUGUUUAAUUGCAACAGAGUGUUUAUCAGAAAGGGCCAUUUAAAAAAAAUGUGAGUAAGAACUUUUAAAAUCUGCCAAUUUAAUGUAUGGCUAGUUUAAGAAGAAGGUGGGGGUGGUUUUUCAGGUUAAGUUUGCUCUACAGAAACUGGCUACUCUCUCCGUAUCUUUUACAGUGCGUGGACACACUAUUAAAAUAUUUAUACCACUUGCAUAACUGCAUCUAGAAAUUAUAUAUUGGACGUAAUCUAUUUGACCACAUUUUAUUUUUACCCUUUCUUUUAAAAGCAUUUUUGGCAACUUGAUCUACCUGCCUUUCAUGGUCCAAGGCACGUCAGCACUGUAGCUUGCCAGGUAGCCAAAUUCAUCUUAAAUUAUAGCAGGAUAGGUUCAAGGGAAUAUAUAUCAUUGAAAGGAAGUCAGAUUAUUAUGUCUGAAUCUUUAUGUGACUUCUCAACUACCUUCAUAUUUUAAAUUACAGCUGAUACAAUUUCUCAUGGAGUAACAUUUAAAAAUCAUAAAAUAACAUAUGCAGAUCCACAUGAAUUAUCAUUUAUGAUUUUUUAUUCUCCUAUGAUAUUUCCAUGUUUAGUAAAGUAUCAUUACAUGUUUCAGUACAGUUUUACUAAAGCAGGAAAUUAAUCUUAAGUUUCAUAAAAUUCUUCCCUUCCUAUCUGUCUCCAUUAUCUUCGAAUAUUGCUAACAGCAAGAUAUUUGUAGUUAAAUAAAGGUAAGGGCCAACUGUCAAUUCCAGCUUCUUCCCUUACUAGUUGUCUGGUCUUGAAAAUUCACAUAAUCAUUUGAGUGUCUGUGUCCUCAUCUCUUAAACAAAAAGAAAAGAAAAAGGAUAAUUAUACUUGCCUCACAGGGUGGGGGUAAGGAUUAAAUAAGAUUGAAUAUCUGAUGUGCUUAAUGCAGUUCCCAGCACUAGGUUGGCACGUAGUCCAUGUUAAUUUCUUCAUCCCAUUUUACACUUUAAAAUCUUUUGCACAGCUUAAAAAUUGUGAUAUCAUUGGCAUUAUUUCUCCAAAUAAAGUUUAUGCAUCCUUAAAGGGAUGGCUCUUUUUAAAACUGGGUUGACUAUGAUCACUACAACCACUUAUGUACACUGACUUUAAGCUUCAAUAAGUGUUUUUCGAUAUGUUUUUGAUAAAUCAAUGCUAAAUGGCUCAUUGCUGGAUUUAAUUUUAGUAUUUGUUUGGUAAUUUCCUUUCUGUCUAAAUGAAAUUUGAGUUACCAGUUGCCUACAUUUAUGAAAGUUUGUCCUGUUGUAGAUUCAUCUCAUUAUACUUCUAGAGCCCUUGAAACAUCAUAUUGAAGUAAUUGAUAAAGAAUUUUUUUCAUAUAUCCAUCAAAUAGUUCAUAAACAUCUGCUAUGUGCUAGUCACUUUGGAGACGACAAAGGAAAAAGAGCAAUUUUAAGAACAAUGUUAUUAAUAAAUAUUAAGUGCUUAUUGUGUACUAGGCACUCUUCUAAGUAAUGUAUUUAUUUAUUCACUUAAACCUUAAUCAUCCCUUAAGGUAGGCGCAAUUUUCACUAUUUUAUGUUUGAGAAAACUGAGAUUCAAAGAAGUUAAAUAACUUACUGGUCACAUGACUAAUAAUGGGCAAAGUCAGAAUUCAAACCCAAGAUGUCUAACUGCAGAAUUCUUUGUUUCCAUUAGUGGCAAAGGCUUACAUCUAGAUGCUCAUGAUCUACUACUGUAUUUCAAAUGUGUUUUAGCCCAUUUGUUAGAUAAAACAUUUGUUUUAAUCAUUUUUUAUACUGCAUUCUCCCUAGCCAAGAGAGAAGAGGUCUUGUGGAAAUACCAUUAGAAAAUCAUAUUGGGCCAGGCAUGAUGGCUCAUGCCUGUAAUCCCAGCUACUCCUGGGGAGGCUGAGGCAGGAGAAUCACUUGAGCCUAGUUCAAGGCUGCAGUGAGCUAUGAUCACACCACUGUACUCCAGCCUGGGCAGCAGAACAAGAUCCUGACUCCAAAAGAAAAUACUGGGAAGUUACAUGGGAUGACCCCGUGUGACCACUCCAGUGUGGUUCAGGAAGCUCUUCUCCAGUGCUCCUCACUCAUUCAUGCAGUUUUUCUGAAGAUGGAGGCCUUUGCAGAGGUGCUGAGAGUGACCUGGUUGGUGUCAACCAUUUGUUCAUGUUUCUCAUUUGUGGUGAAAAAUCUAUUGAAGACUCUGAGUGUAGAGUGGGCAUGGGUAGUGGCUUUGUUCCCUUGCUUCUUCCCGAUGCCUUGAGACUAGCAGGAGAUAUCAACUUGGCAUUUUUGUCUAUUCUGCAGACUCAAUCUUUUAUUGGGACUGUCAUUCCAAGAUGACACCUAAAGGAUAGUGAGCUUAGAAUGCACCACACUUGUGUUUAUAAGAAAGCCAACUCCUUUACAUUACAUCAAAAUUGGUUCCAAACUUUGGUUAGAAAAAGGGGUGCUAUUUAUUUUAUUUAUUUGCCUUUUAAUGGACCUCAUGUAUUAGUCUGCUAGGGCUGCCAUAACAAAAUACCACAGGCUGGAUGGUGUUUAAGCCAAACAGAAAUUCAUUUUCUCACAGUUCUGGAUGCUGGAAGUACAAGAUGCAGGUACUGGCAGGUUUCGUUUCUUCUAAGCCUUCUCUACUUGCCUUGGAGAUGGCUGACUUCUUGCUGUGCCUUCCCAUGUCCCUUGAUCUAUGCACAGGCAUCCCUGAUAUCUCUUCCUCUUCUUAUAAGGACACCUGUCAUAUUAGAUGAGGACUCACCAUGGACCUCAUUUAAGCUUAAUUACUUGUUUAAAGUCCCUGUCUGCAAAGACAAUCACAUUGGGGAUUACAGCUUCAACAUAUAAAUCUGUGAUUCGGGUAAAGGACACAAUUCUGCCUAUAACACCCCAUCUAUAAGCUCUGGCUGGACACAUUUUAAAGUGAACCACUUUGAAAAAGUAGACCAAGUCAUUGCGAAAAGACUAACUCUGUCUUUUCUUCAACCAAUAAACAUAAACUCUCACAUUUUCUAAACUUUCCUUCAAAAUAAAUAUUUAUUGAAAUAAUAGCUAAUAUUUAUUGAUUGCUUAUUUAUAUAGCAGAAAUGCAUCAACUCACUGAAUCCUUAUGACAACCCACUGUUUUGGGUCCUUUUAUUAACCCAUUUUACAAAGUAAAACUAUAACAGAGGGGUCAAGCAACUUGCCCACAUUCUUACUCCCCAUGAUGCUGCUGAAAUUUGAACUCAGAUUUUGUGUCCAGACAUGCUCACAUAACUUAUACAAGCUGAAUGUAUUGGUACUUUCUUGAUAUGUACUUUCUAUUUGUAAUGAUAGAUAUGUAAAAUACAGACAUUGAUGUAUUUUUGACACAAUUAUUUAUAUCAUUUGGCUUUGCUAAAAUUUGAACUCAGAUUUUCUGUCCAGACAUGCUCAUAUAACCUGAUACUAUGCUAAAUGUCUUGGUACUUGCUUGAUAUGUACUUUGAUAGAAGUGCAUUUGUGGCCAGGCAUGGUGGCUCAUGCCUGUAAUCCCAGCACUUUCGGAGGCCAAAGCAUGUGGAUCGCCUGAGGUCAGGAGUUCGAGACCAGCCUGGGCAACAUGGUGAAACCCUGUAUCUAUUAAAAAUACAAAAAUUAUCUAGGUGCAGUGGUGUGUGCCUGUAAUCCCAGCUACUCAGGAGGCUGAGGCAGUAGAAUCGCUUGAGCCCAGGAGUUGGAGGUUGCAGUGAGCCAAGAUUGCACCAUUGCAUUCCAUCCUGGGUGACAGAGCAAGAUUCCGUCUCAAAGAAAAAAAAAAAAAAGAAAAAAGAAAGAAGUGCAUUUAUAAUGAUAGAAAUGUAAAAUAGAGAAACUGAUGGAUUUUUGUAAUAAUUAUUUAUACAAUUGAGUUUCAUUGAAAAAUUCACCAGAAGCAGAGAUUGUUAAUCCAGUUAGGCAGCUCCCCCUUGUUCAGGCUGGUAGAGUCCUGCCAGAUACAAUUAUUACCCCUGGUUCCUGUUUACCAGCCAAGAAGGGUUUGGAUACAAGCUCCUUGGGUGGAGCCCAGCUCCUUGGGUGGAGCCCAGAAGGGCAGUGGCAGACUCACUGGUAAGAAGGUAUCUUAAUAGGUGAAAUGAGAAACUCUAGCCAAAGAGACACUGCAGAAACACCUAGACAUUAUGAGGAUGAGCCAAAAUGAACAGAUGAUGUAAUCGACACUAUGACCACAGCCCUCCAAGCCAGGGUUGCUUCUGACUGGUUUGUGAAAAAAAAAGUUCUUGUGCUCAAGUUCACUCAGAGAGAACUGUGGCCAUACUCAACACAUUUUGUGAGUGCCCGAGAAGUAAUGUUAAUAAAAAAUGUUGAAUUUGGUUUGUCAAAGACUGAUAAUCUUGAAACAGUUAAAGCAAUUAGAGGUAGGGAACCAUAUUUAAUUUUGUUUUCCAAAAUAUUUAAAAAUAAAUUCUAUAUUUGAUAUUAUAGUCUCCUUAACAUUUAACCUCCUAUAUUUUCUAAAAUGCAAACAUUAUUGAAGUGCCAGGGAGCUGUUUUCUUAAAAGUUUAAGCCAUGACUAAAGUGUGGUUGAAAAUAAUACUUAUUUUCUUAAUACCUUAUAUUCCUAGAACUGGGAUGGAGAAGAUUAAUUUGUCAGUUAGCCCUAGCUGUUCCCUAUUUCAGUUUGGUAACUAUUUAAAUGCGAAUCAUUCUAGGCUUUUCUGUAAGAAUAUAAGGAUAAGCAUAUUUUAGAUCUUACUCUCAAAAACUUUAAAGUUUAGCUGACAAGAUAAUAAAUAAUAAAAAUAGUUAAGAUUUUUUUGAGGAAUACAUGACAUUUAUUGAAUCAUUUAAUUGUUAAAACAACCAGAUUGCUCUUUUUAUUCCCAUUUUAUAAAUGAAGGCACUGAGUCCCAGAGAGCUUUAACAUUUUGCUCUAGGUUACAUGGCAAAAAAAAUUUUGUCAACUAUGUUGCCAAUCCAGGUAUAUUAGUUGCCUAGGGUUACCAUAAUAAAUUGCUAUUAUUCAGUGGCUUAAAAUAACAGAAACUUAUUCUCUCACAGCUCUGGAAACAAGAAGUCUGAAAUGAAGGUGUUAACAGAGGCGCCCUUGAUGCUUUAGGGAGAAUCCUUCCUUGCUUCUUCUAGCUUCUGGUUAUCGUCAAUAUUCCCUGUAGCUGCAUCACUACAAUCCUUCCUUGUCUUGUCUUCAUAUGACCCUCUCCUUGACUCUCUUUAUCUUCUUUUCUUCUGUCUCCUUUUAUAAGGACACAUGCCAUUGAAUAGGGUCCAACCAGAUAAUCCAGGAUGAUUUUAUAUUAAAAUCCUUCAUGUGAUUACAUCUGCUAAACUCUUUUUUAUUUUUGAAUAUAAUCACAUUCAUAGUUAAUGGGGUUAGGAUGUGAACAUACCUUUUUAGGAAACACCAUCAACCUGCUACGCCAAGCUUUCUGGCUGCAAUGCCAUUGCUGUAACUCCAUAUAUUAAGUAAAUAUAUUGAAUGGCAUAGUAACAUAUCUCUUGGUAGAUCUGAAUAGUAGAGAAGGCGCAAUCAUUGGUAUCAGGCAGAAAGGAGUCUGAACUUUGGCUUUACCAUUACCAGUUGGUUUUCCCCCUCCUUGACCCAAAUUUCAGCUUUUUUUUUUAAUCUACCAAAUGUGUUUAAUACUUUUUGCCACAUUAUUUGAUGAAGAUUUAAAUAAAUAAAUAAAAUAAAAUGAAAUAAAAUUAAAAUAAAUACAUAAAUAAAAUCUGGCCUGACAUUUUAGCAAAUAGACACAAAAAGUUAGAGUUCCUUUACUUCCCAGAAGCAAAACAAAUUUGCAAAAAUAGGAAAAGAAUGGGAAAAUGAGGAAGGACUCAUCUCUAGAUGAGAAUCAAGGGUAAAAUUGUGGAGGAUGUGAUAGUCAAGAUAUGUCUUGAUGGAUUGGACUGAGCAAAUGAAGACUGAGCAAAAUGCUCUCUAGAAAAGGUAAAAGAUAAUUCAUUUUGAAAAAAAGAGUAUUUUUACAGGAACAUCAUAGAAAAUUAUUCCAGUAUGGAAAAAUGGAUUGCUACUAUACUGAAGAGGACCUUCAGUCAAGGUGAUGAGCUUGUACAGAAAUCUGAGUAAUUUGUUAUAAAGUGCUGAGGCAAAUAUGUUAAUAUAGUAAGUUAUAUUUUUAGCAACAGCAGUUUAUAUUGUGGAAUUAACAUUCUUGAUAUUAAAAAAGUCAUAUAUCAAUUUUUAAAACUACAGGACAUGAACAGAAAGCCCAAAUAAUAAUUUCAAAGAAGUGAAAAUUCACAUAGCCAAUGAAUAUAUGUGGACACUCGACACAGGGUAGUGAUAGUAUUGCAGAAAAACAAGUGUGCAAAUCUAUUAGCAAUAAGGGUGUGCAAUUAAAACCACGUGACCCUACUAGCAAAGAGUAAAAACGUGAAAAUCUCCAGCAAAGGAGUGCAACAAGAAUCCUAAUACCCUCAACAUAGAAGCAUACAUUUAAAUAUUUUGGCUUUCUCCAAGAUUCCUGUCUCAGAAAAAAAAGUAUGCAUAUUUACAUCAAGGUACAUAUAUAAAACUGAUCGUGAUAUCAUUGUUAAUGAUACUUUCCAACUUGAAACAUCUCAAAUGAUUACCAAAACUAAAAAGUUCUGCUAAACAACUCAAUAGUCAAUGGAUUACUAUAUAACAAUGAAAAUGACGGAACUACAAAUCCACACGUGAACAUGGAUGGACCUCAACACAUGGGGUGAAAGGAACAUGUCACCAAUGAAUACAUACUCAUACAGCAUGAGUCUAUUUAUAUAGAUCCCAAUUACAGAAAAACUAAACUGUAUCUUUUUUAGGAUAGGUACAUAAAUUAGAAAAUUACCAAGAAAAGCAAUAAAUCCAGAUUUUAACAC
This 20534-nucleotide long non-coding RNA is filed under the name Homo sapiens (human). Its description in RNAcentral is "HSALNT0069880". Lineage: Eukaryota; Metazoa; Chordata; Mammalia; Primates; Hominidae. The record is from RNAcentral.